UUGCCUCAGUAACGGCGAAGUGAAGCGGCAAGAGCUCAAAUUUGAAAUCUGGCCCCUUUGGGGUCCGAGUUGUAAUUUGCAGAGGAKGCUUCGGGUGCGGUCCCCGUCUAAGUGCCCUGGAACGGGCCGUCAUAGAGGGUGAGAAUCCCGUCUGGGAUGGGCGGCCGCGCCCGUGUGAAGCUCCUUCGACGAGUCGAGUUGUUUGGGAAUGCAGCUCUAAGCGGGUGGUAAAUUUCAUCUAAAGCUAAAUACUGGCCGGAGACCGAUAGCGCACAAGUAGAGUGAUCGAAAGAUGAAAAGCACUUUGAAAAGAGAGUUAAACAGCACGUGAAAUUGUUGAAAGGGAAGCGUUGUCCACCAGACUCGCCCGGGGGGGUUCAGCCGGCACGUGUGCCGGUGUACUCCUCUCCGGGCGGGCCAGCAUCGGUUUGGGCGGCUGGUGAAAGGCCCCGGGAAUGUAACACCCUUCGGGGUGCCUUAUAGCCCGGGGUGCCAUACAGCCAGCCUGGACCGAGGCCCGCGCUUCGGCGAGGAUGCUGGCGUAAUGGUGGUCAACGGCCCGUCUUGAAACACGGACCAAGGAGUCUAACAUCUAUGCGAGUGUUCGGGUGUCAAACCCGUCCGCGCAGUGAAAGCGAACGGAGGUGGGAGCCCCUCGGGGCGCACCAUCGACCGAUCCUGAUGUCUUCGGAUGGAUUUGAGUAAGAGCAUAGCUGUUGGGACCCGAAAGAUGGUGAACUAUGCCUGAAUAGGGCGAAGCCAGAGGAAACUCUGGUGGAGGCUCGCAGCGGUUCUGACGUGCAAAUCGAUCGUCAAAUUUGGGUAUAGGGGCGAAAGACUAAUCGAACCAUCUGGUAGCUGGUCUGCG
RNAcentral lists this ribosomal RNA (868 nucleotides) under Talaromyces liani. Its description in RNAcentral is "LSU rRNA". It matches the Rfam family "Eukaryotic large subunit ribosomal RNA", at positions 75 to 960 of the family's 3401-position model. Lineage: Eukaryota; Fungi; Ascomycota; Eurotiomycetes; Eurotiales; Trichocomaceae. The record is from RNAcentral.